CUGCUCUCAGCCCUGAUGGUUUUCUGCCUUUGCAUUGCCCACAUCCCUACCAAGGAGGAAAGUUAAACCACUCCAAGGUUUUGGAAAGAAAUGUGCUGGGAAAACCUCCAAAGGUCUGGAUUGAAGAGAAGAGAUGUAAUGCCCAUACAUGGGGGUAAAAAAGCAUGAGGGACUGAUUGGGAAUCAAGCAUUCAGCCUACAGCCAUUAAAGGGAAACAGUGGGUUUGUCUUUUUCUUAAAGCCAUCAAGUUUCAGCUACUAUUUUUCAUACAGUCACCCCUCCUCUAAGGUGUGUUACAUGUGGCUGUAACAUGUUUGUAGCCAGAAUUUUCUCUGGAAUCAGCACACACAGAGCAAGAUGACUUUUUGGUGGUUCUGCAGUGGGAUACAGCUGCAGAGUGCAU
Zonotrichia leucophrys gambelii is the source of this 404-nucleotide long non-coding RNA. RefSeq lists it as uncharacterized. NCBI's taxonomy places the organism in Eukaryota, Metazoa, Chordata, Aves, Passeriformes, Passerellidae. The transcript has 3 exons. The record is from RefSeq and is a predicted model, not a curated record.